GAUGAAGAACGUAGCGAAAUGCGAUACGUAAUGUGAAUUGCAGAAUUCAGUGAAUCAUCGAGUCUUUGAACGCACAUUGCGCCCCCUGGUAUUCCGGGGGGCAUGCCUGUCCGAGCGUCAUUGCUGCCUUCAAGCACGGCUUGUGUGUUGGGCCUCCGUCCUCCUCCCGGGGGACGGGCCCGAAAGGCAGCGGCGGCACCGCGUCCGGUCCUCGAGCGUAUGGGGCUUCGUCACCCGCUCUUGUAGGCCCGGCCGGCGCUUGCCGACACAUCAAUCUUUUUUCCAGGUUGACCUCGGAUCAGGUAGGGAUACCCGCUGAACUUAAGCAUAUCAAUAAGCGGAGGA
RNAcentral lists this unclassified non-coding RNA (345 nucleotides) under soil metagenome. RNAcentral describes it as "partial contains 5.8S ribosomal RNA, internal transcribed spacer 2, and large subunit ribosomal RNA". The stretch from base 1 to 120 matches the Rfam family "5.8S ribosomal RNA", at positions 35 to 154 of the family's 154-position model. The record is from RNAcentral.